AGCCAGGAGAUGGGACAAGGAGGUUGCUUGUCCCCAGUCACCAGGAGACCAAGCUCAUCUGGUCUCCAAAGAACCCAAGGGGAGGAAAGAACAGGCAAACACAAGUACGAGGAGAGAGCUGCCAACCUACCGUGACAAAAACAGAGGCCAGGAGCAAGCCCACGGAGUAGAUCAGCCCCCUGCUAUUCAGCCGGAUGAGGACUACAGGCACACACCAUCACACCUGGCUGAUUUUUGAUUUUUUGUAGAGACUAGGUCUCACUACAUUGCCUGGGCUGGUCUUGAACUCCUGGAAGCAAGUGAUCCUCCCAGCUCAGCCGCCCAAAGUGCUCAUUACAAGCAGCCCAACAUGCUCUCAAAGUGGCUCAUUACAAGCAUGAGACACUGCAGUUUUAAUCUCAUCUUUAACCAAAUUUACAUUUAAAGAGCCACAUGUGGUUGUGCCCAUGAAUCUGUGCUUUAACUCCAGGUGAUUCUGAUGCACAGGAAAGUUUAAGAACCACUGAUUUAGAGAAAGCAUAAAGCUCAGAUCCACUUCUGUUCUCCAAGGGUUCUGCGGAAGGGAUCUUGACAUGGACUACAGACCCCAACCAAUGUACACUCUCCUGCAGGGAGUGAAAAGCUUCUCUACGUUCUUGGGAAGGGAAAGUAAAGGAAGACUCAAGUCAUAUCUCUGCGACACUAGAGCAAUGGCUUAACCUGGUUAAUUCAGCGUGGAAAAAUGGCAGAUCGGCCCAGUCACAGUCCAGCUUGUGGCUUAACUUCAUGCACACACUCAACCUGACUGUGGAUAGACUUUCCCACUUUCAUCAGCUGGGUUGGUAUAAAGAGGCCAACAUACAAGACUGCAUCGCAAAUGGGUUGUAUUGAAGAUUUUCUUCCUCCAAAUAUUCUGUCCACACUGACUAUGAUAAUCCCCUGUGUUCUGGUCAAUGUUGAAUGGGAGAGAUGGGCUCCUCAGAGCAAGAUGGCAACCCCUAGGAGAGAGAAAGAGGCUCUUGGAGCUAUCCUCAGUCACCCUUGGGUAGAUGUGAAACUGUAGAUAAACACUCAGGAAUCCUUUUGAGCUCUUAACUUUCAGCACUGCGCACACAGAUAUCUUCUGAGAGGGGCAAUGCAUUUCCAGCACAGCUUGCCCUCUGAGCUCCAGGGUCAAACCCUUGUCAGCAACAAGAACUUAGUAAAGUGAUUUCAUGCCCUUAAGAAACCAAGAGCCAGUGACCGCAAAGCUCCUAGCAGGAAAAUUCCCUUUGGCCAAACAUUUUCAAAAGGAAUCCUGUUAAACCAAAGCUUUUGAACUUUACUCUUCCUAUGUUCACAUGAAAUCUCGAAGAACAGUGUGGCUGAAAUUCUAAAUCUGGUUCCAGAGGCCAUAGGCAACUCACUCUUUUGUGGAGUUUCUGUGUUUUUAACUUCUCACCUUUUUCUCUAUAGCCUUCCUUUG
RNAcentral lists this long non-coding RNA (1444 nucleotides) under Pan troglodytes (chimpanzee). RNAcentral's name for it is "long non-coding RNA NONPTRT009153". Lineage: Eukaryota; Metazoa; Chordata; Mammalia; Primates; Hominidae. The record is from RNAcentral.